This 681-nucleotide long non-coding RNA is filed under the name Gossypium raimondii (Peruvian cotton). RNAcentral's name for it is "long non-coding RNA (GRAI_LNC001874)". Lineage: Eukaryota; Viridiplantae; Streptophyta; Magnoliopsida; Malvales; Malvaceae. The record is from RNAcentral.
UGAACCCCUGCUCAAGCUCCGACGGCGACAGAGAGAACAGGGGAUUCGACGACGAGGUAUUUUCUCCCCUCUUUUAAUUUCUUUCUAUUAUUUCCCUUAUAAAUCACGAAUCAAAUAAGCGCUGAAAAGGAAAAAAGGAAAAAUAAAAGAAGACCAAAAAAAUGAAUCACCUUUCUGUAUUUCAAACUUUUUGUAUUCAGCAUGCGCGUAAGGAGAAAUACAAAAAUUCUUUCGGUUCUUAUAUUCUCAUUUUUUCAAAGAACCCGAAAAGAAAUCGAAUAAAAUUAAAAUAAAAUAAAAAAAUAUCCAAUUGGUUUGUUCUCUGCUGCCUUUGUUUGUUUGCGUGCAGAUACGUUCGUACGGGGGCUGACGUGGCGGUACGGAGGUGUGCGUGGCUAGGGAGAGCGGUGCUGGAGGUCACUGUUGCGGCGCUCGUGCCAUUUCUGAAACCCUAGGGUUUCUAUUUGUUUCGGUUUUGGGCUAGGGGUAUUCAGUUCUGAUUUUGGGCUAGUGAUUUGGGUUAAAACGGGUUGGGGUUUAGUUAGUUGGGCUAGGUGGUCUAAUGUGUUUUGGGUUUGGGCAAAUUAAUCGGGCCUACUAUUGUAAUAAGCUGGACAUUUAUUUGGUUUAUUUUAUUUUGUUUUAAUUUGGUGUUUAUUUAUCUAUGAUUUUGGGCCCAGG